Long non-coding RNA from Balaenoptera musculus (blue whale), 3527 nucleotides. RefSeq lists it as uncharacterized. The record is from RefSeq and is a predicted model, not a curated record. The transcript has 8 exons. Lineage: Eukaryota; Metazoa; Chordata; Mammalia; Artiodactyla; Balaenopteridae.
UUGGAAUUGCAUGGAAUACUCACCGCCAUAAAAAAAGUGCUGAUUUUGUUGCUUUCACCUGUUCCCUCUCCUGGGAUGGAACAGAAUAAUGAACUCCAAAGGUAUGGACCACUGGUUGAGUUUAAUAUGAAAGAGUUUAUCCCUCUUCUUGAGAGGUGACAUGAAGGAAAGUAUUGAAAAUAAUUUUACCAUCUCAUCCUCAAGAGCCAGUGGGAAUUGUAACAUCAGUUGGAAGUAAUAUUGGAAUUGCAUGGAAUUCUUACCACCCCACCAAAGAAGAGCUGGUUUUGUCACUUCUGCCAGCUCCUUAUCUAAGAAGAAAUCCAAUGAUGCACUCUCAAGAAUUUUUGCAUUUUCUCAGUCUUCCUACUAAUGCCUCAUACAGGAAUUAAGCAUGGAGACGAUGGUAAAGCCAUUCCUCACCAGUGUGGCAGAGAGAAAUUGUUUCUACUGAGGGGUGUGCUUGGCCAAAUGUCACUGAAUCCUCAGCAGUGUGGCCUGGUGAGCACCACCCUGACAAUAGGACGGGGAGUAUUUCAUGGUUGGUGUUCCAAAAACUGGGUUUCAUAUGGAUGAGUUUAUCCCUUCCCCUUGAGAUGAGACAUGAAGGAAAGUGUUGGGAAUAAUUCUGCUUUCCAUCCUCAAAGGCCUGUGUGAAUUCUCACAAAGGUGAUAGAGCCUAGAAGGAAAGGGAAACUGUCUAUGCCUUUGCCUUAACUUCUGAAUGUCAGUUCUAGAGAAGGAGGUGACAACUUACUUCUCAGCCAAUGCUCUCCCUUCCUACCUGUGGUCCUUUGGACACCCUCGCAGAGGAUGACUUCUUGGGAACUCUUUUGGGAAUGAAUGAUAUCAGUAAAUCCCUGAAGCAAGAUUCUUCAGACAAAGCCUAUUUACCUACCUGUUGUCCAAGGGCUACCCUCUGAAGGUGAUGACCACAGAGACGAGGUGGAUUUGUUACUGUGGGUACCAUUACUUCUACCAUCAGCUUCUCCAAAACAAUGAUACAGUCUUCUUUGUGUAUGGAAACUCUUCUCUUUCCUGUGUUGCAGUGGAUUCCUCCUGCAGAUAAGAAAUGCUUAACUGAGAAAUGGUCAUGUUGGGAUAUCAUCGAUGAGACUUUAAUUUGGGCAUGGUGACUGUUUCCCUUGCUUCCACUUGACUCAAUCCCAGGAGCCUCAGUAGAGGAAAUAUUAUUGCACAAGAAACUCAGAAUGAUGGAAUUGCUCAGUGCUCCCAUAAAUAUACAUUUAUAAUUUUCAUUUGCCAUGUGGUAAAUUUAAAAAUUAAGAUCUAUUAAAUUUUUUUCAAAAAUUCAAAGCAUAUCUAAAUAUCUAAUAUAUAAAUUAAGUGCCCUCCUCUCUCCCAAUUCUAUCUCCCAGAGUUAUCCUCUAUUAAGUGAGUUGUGUGCAUUCUUUAAGUGGAUAGAUGCACACACACACAAACACACACACACAAGCUAUUUUGGGGGGUUCUGGAAGUGGAGGUAUAUUGUACACAUUAUCCUGCAAGUUGCAUUUCAUUUAACAGUUUUUUCAAUACCCUUUUUCUGUUUCAGUAAUACAUAUCUGUGUCAUUUGUUGAAUGACUGCAUGAUUGUUUUGUACAUGAAAUAUAAUUAAAUGUUUUCAGCAUUUCUCAUUCAUAGAUAUUUAUGUUAGCACCAAAUUUCUUGCAAUGAACCUCCCUAUAUAUCAAUAAUUUGCAUUUGUCUAUUAUAUCAUAAUAAAUUACUUAGCAGUGGAAAUACUGGGAUUAAGUAUAUGCACAUUUCAAAUUUUGAAAAUGAUCACAAGAUUUCCUUUAAAAUGUGGUAACAACUUUAUCCUCAAAUGGCAAUGAAUGAGAUUGACAGCUUUCCCACAACCUCACAGAUAAUGAAUUUUAUGACUAUUUAAAAUCUUUGCCGGUGUGAUAGCCCAAACUAUUGUCUUAAAUUGUAUUUCUUUCGUUUUUGAGUUUGAUCAUUUUUUCAUAUGUUUAUUAGCCAUCUGUAAUUUUAAUUUUCUUUUUAUGUCCAAUUUUGGGGGUGGGUGGAGGUUUUAAUCUCUUGCUAAUUUCAGAGAGUCAUUUAUUAUUGGGGGAAUAAGCUUUCGAUUGUCAAGCAUUACAGAUAUUUUUUACACACUUUAAAACUUCAUUUUUGUUAUAAGAAUGUGUAUGAUUGUUAUGUGUCCAAGUAUAACCAUGUUCGCUUCUAUGGCUUCUGAGCUUCAUGUCAUUUUAGAAAGAUAUUUACACUGAUCCCAUAAAACUCUUCACCUAUGUUAACUUCUAAUUCUUUUGUGUUUUUUAAUUCAAAUUCUUAAAUCAUGAGAAAUUUUUUUUUAUUUCAAAUCUUAAAGUUGCCAAGUUAUUUGCCAUUACUUGCGAUUAUUUGCCAAUAAUUGCCCAUUUAUCUGUAAUGCCAUCUUGCAUAUAUGCUGUAUUCUCAUCUGUGACUGGCUCCAUUUUUGUUCUGUGGGUCUGUGUGUCUCUUCUUCUGCCUCCUGUCUCAUAUGUCUUCUCAUUGGAAGAAAUUACAGUUUAGACUGCAAUUUCAUCAACUUCAAUAAAUUAAUUUAGUGGAGAAUUGGUGUUUAACAGUAGUCUUCCUAUCCAAGGACAAGGUAUGUCUUUCUUUUUAUUCAAUAAUUUUAAUUACUGUUAAUAUUUUCACUUUGUGGUGGGGGUAUCUUCUUUCAGUUUAUUUUCUUACUUGAUAAUUUUUCUAUACCUGAAAGUUUUGUUUUGUUUUGGGGGUAAGUGAUCUCCUUACUCUUUCUCAUGGCUUUUCAGAUUUUUUUUCAAAUUAUGUACUAAAUCCUUUGAAAAUACUGAUAGCUGUGAUUCUCCUCUUCCAAAUGAUCUGGAUUUUAGUUAUGUUGAUAAAAUUCACUGACUGGUACUUUCAGAGCACUUAAACAGUUGUGGAAAUAUUACCCACCGUUGAUUUAAUUAGGUUUUAAUGGAUACUUCUUGGGUUUGACCAGCAUGUUUUUGCUGGUCUAUUAAGCAAAAAGACUCUCAGAAACCUACUGCAGCAAAGGAAAACACCACUUUGACAAAGUUUAGUAGUGUUUCAAAAGCAGGAAAUUAGGGCUUUGAGGGAUGCGCUGAUGUGGUUUAAGGCAGGAUUUUCAAGGCAGGGAACUGGUUAGGAGUGGGAAAAAUUUGUCCUGCGAUAGUUUGAAGUCGGUGAAAGAGUAAGAUGAGGACCUUGAUGUGAGUUUAGAUAAUCAAAUUUUUGUCUGAUGAAUCAGCUACUUCCCUAUAUGAGUAAUAUUUUAUCAGUGAUGGAAGAACUAUUUGCUUAGAUGAACAAACUGAAUUUAUUUGUUGGUUUACAGUUCUAUCUUGUUUAUAGAACCCUGCUAGGGGUGGUAUCAGGUCUUAGUUCCAAUAGGUAAGUUAUUUUGAUGUAAGUGGCCUCAGUCAUCAAAGUAAGAUGCUAAUUUUAAAUUUGAGAUUCUUGUGUAUUGUGUUAGGAAAAGUCUCUUACCUUUUAUAUAUUUCUAAAGAAUUUUAAUCAAAACCAAGUGGUAGAUGUA